This 422-nucleotide ribosomal RNA is filed under the name uncultured bacterium. RNAcentral describes it as "bacterial SSU rRNA". It matches the Rfam family "Bacterial small subunit ribosomal RNA", at positions 794 to 1219 of the family's 1533-position model. The record is from RNAcentral.
UCCACGCUGUAAACGAUGAUUACUAGCUGUUGGCGAUAUACAGUCAGUGGCUAAGCGAAAGUGAUAAGUAAUCCACCUGGGGAGUACGAUCGCAAGGUUGAAACUCAAAGGAAUUGACGGGGGCCCGCACAAGCGGAGGAGCAUGUGGUUUAAUUCGAUGAUACGCGAGGAACCUUACCUGGGCUUAAAUGUAGAUUGCAUGAUUUGGAAACAGAUCUUCUCUUCGGAGCUAUUUACAAGGUGCUGCAUGGUUGUCGUCAGCUCGUGCCGUGAGGUGUCGGGUUAAGUCCCAUAACGAGCGCAACCCCUAUCGUUAGUUGCCAGCGGAUAAUGCCGGGGACUCUAGCGAGACUGCCACCGUAAGGUGAGAGGAAGGUGGGGAUGACGUCAAAUCAGCACGGCCCUUACGUCCAGGGCUACAC